CAGUAGCCGCGGUAAUACGAGGGGGGCAAGCGUUGUUCGGAAUUAUUGGGCGUAAAGGGUGCGUAGGCGGUUUGACAAGUCUUAUGUGAAAUCUCUGGGCUCAACCCAGAGUCUGCAUGGGAAACUGUCGGGCUUGAGUAUGGGAGAGGUGAGUGGAAUUUCCGGUGUAGCGGUGAAAUGCGUAGAUAUCGGAAGGAACACCUGUGGCGAAAGCGGCUCUCUGGUCUGUAACUGACGCUGAGGCUCGAAAGCGUGGGGAGCGAACAGGAUUAGAGACCCCUGUAGUCCCUGUCUCUUAUAC
Molecule: ribosomal RNA, 301 nt
Filed under: uncultured bacterium
Lineage: Bacteria
Description: partial 16S ribosomal RNA
Rfam family: Bacterial small subunit ribosomal RNA
Source: RNAcentral